RNAcentral lists this ribosomal RNA (714 nucleotides) under uncultured bacterium. RNAcentral's name for it is "bacterial SSU rRNA". It matches the Rfam family "Bacterial small subunit ribosomal RNA", at positions 771 to 1498 of the family's 1533-position model. The record is from RNAcentral.
AACAGGAUUAGAUACCCUGGUAGUCCACGCCCUAAACGAUGAAUACUAAAUUUCGGGGCGAAAGCUCCGGAGUUCAAGCAAAAGCGAUAAGUAUUCCACCUGGGAAGUACGCUCGCAAGGGUGAAACUCAAAGGAAUUGACGGGGGCCCGCACAAGCGGUGGAGCAUGUGGUUUAAUUCGAUGGUACGCGAGGAACCUUACCUGGGCUAGAAUGCGCGUGACCGCCUCAGAGAUGGGGCUUCCCUUCGGGGCACAAAGCAAGGUGCUGCAUGGCUGUCGUCAGCUCGUGCCGUGAGGUGUUUGGUUAAGUCCAGCAACGAGCGCAACCCCUGUUACUAGUUGCCAGCACAUUAUGGUGGGAACUCUAGUAAGACUGCCUUCGUAAGAAGUGAGGAAGGAGGGGACGACGUCAAGUCAUCAUGGCCCUUACGUCCAGGGCUACACACGUGCUACAAUGGCCAGUACAAUGGGCAGCAAACCCGCGAGGGCGAGCAAAUCUCAAAAAGCUGGUCUCAGUUCGGAUUGGAGUCUGCAACUCGACUCCAUGAAGUUGGAAUCGCUAGUAAUCGCGUAUCAGCAAUGACGCGGUGAAUACGUUCCCGGGCCUUGUACACACCGCCCGUCAAGCCAUGGAAGCUGGGGGCGCCUGAAGUCGGGGGAUCAAAUCCCUGCCGAGGGCGAUACCGGUAACUGGGGCUAAGUCGUAACAAGGUA